UGUCUAGAGUAUAAUGUUAAUGCACUGGAUCCCAUUACAGCUAUACAGUUAAGCAUACUAAGGUUGGAGUAGUACUAGGAUGGGUGACCGCCCGAGAAGUCCUGGUGUUUUACAUGC
Picea glauca (white spruce) is the source of this 117-nucleotide non-coding RNA. Lineage: Eukaryota; Viridiplantae; Streptophyta; Pinopsida; Pinales; Pinaceae. The record is from Rfam.